This 91-nucleotide transfer RNA is filed under the name Galdieria sulphuraria. RNAcentral's name for it is "tRNA-Gly". The record is from RNAcentral. Lineage: Eukaryota; Rhodophyta; Bangiophyceae; Galdieriales; Galdieriaceae.
UACGGUUGCCGGGAAUCGAACCCGGGUCACGUCCGUGGCAGGGACGCAUUCUACCAUGAUCCAGUAUUGAUUCCUUCUAGACCACAACCGU